Long non-coding RNA from Rhododendron vialii, 490 nucleotides. RefSeq lists it as uncharacterized. The record is from RefSeq and is a predicted model, not a curated record. The transcript is spliced from 3 exons. Lineage: Eukaryota; Viridiplantae; Streptophyta; Magnoliopsida; Ericales; Ericaceae.
GCCGACUCCCAAUUCUGCCGACAUAGCGAGAGAGAGAGGGGGAGAGAAAGGGAGGAGGAGGUCACGGCUAAGGGGAGGGAGGAAGGAGAGGUCCGGUUUCGACGAUCCAACUCGGUGACAAGUAACGAGCCGGUCUUUUAGGAGGUGCCGAAACCGUAAGUUUGGCAUACUCCAGUCGAAUGAAAGGUGAGUGUGUCUGAUAUGGUUCUUCUCAAUAAGAUAUUGCUAUGGUGGUAGCAGGUGGCUUAGAGUGGGUCCACUACUGGUCAACGCUUUGGAGAGUGCUAGACUAGCGUCGGGUGAUGUCUUUGGUUAGAUUGUUGCGUAGCUGAUUCGUCUAGAAGCUAACCUAAAUGUUAUGUAAUUAAUUGGAGAGAGGGAUAUUUAUUAUAACUUGAGAGUUAAAAUCGCACAUCCAGCAAACAGCCAGUAUUCAAAAAUUCAUAACUAAUUGUGUGAUUAUUGGUUUUGCAUGAUCUUGGUACCGAAA